GACGAACGCUGGCGGCGUGCUUAACACAUGCAAGUCGAACGGUGAAGCGCUUUCCUUUUUGGUUGGUGUGGAUGAGUGGCGAACGGGUGAGUAACACGUGAGUAACCUGCCCCCUUCUUCUGGAUAACCGCAUGAAAGUGUGGCUAAUACGGGAUAUUCUGCGCCUGCUGCAUGGUGGGUGUGGGAAAGAUUGUGCCUUUGGGUGUUUUCGGUGGGGGAUGGGCUCGCGGCCUAUCAGCUUGUUGGUGGGGUGAUGGCCUACCAAGGCGGUGACGGGUAGCCGGCCUGAGAGGGUGGACGGUCGCACUGGGACUGAGACACGGCCCAGACUCCUACGGGAGGCAGCAGUGGGGAAUAUUGCACAAUGGGCGCAAGCCUGAUGCAGCGACGCCGCGUGAGGGAUGGAGGCCUUCGGGUUGUGAACCUCUUUCGCCAGUGAAGCAGGCCUGCUCCUUGUGGGUGGGUUGACGGUAGCUGGAUAAGAAGCGCCGGCUAACUACGUG
This 503-nucleotide ribosomal RNA is filed under the name uncultured bacterium. RNAcentral describes it as "partial 16S ribosomal RNA". It matches the Rfam family "Bacterial small subunit ribosomal RNA", at positions 28 to 507 of the family's 1533-position model. The record is from RNAcentral.